This is a long non-coding RNA of Spea bombifrons (plains spadefoot toad), 311 nucleotides long. RefSeq lists it as uncharacterized. The record is from RefSeq and is a predicted model, not a curated record. NCBI's taxonomy places the organism in Eukaryota, Metazoa, Chordata, Amphibia, Anura, Pelobatidae. The transcript is spliced from 2 exons.
GAGGACAUAGCGAUUUGGUUCCUCACAUUGAGCCGCAGCAUGCAGCCAUUGGCUGGAUAUCCCCUGCCGUGUGCUGUUGUCAUCAGGCGGCGGCUGGCCUUAAAGUGCCAGUCCCUGGAUUUAAUGCCUAUUAUGCCACCUUUAACACUGAAGGAUUGCUGUGUAUCAUUUUACUGCAAGAUGGUUCAAGGCACAUCACUGGAAGCAAACCAGAGAAUAUUUUACUGAUCACUCAAGAAAGCCUCAAGACUCGCUGAGGUUCAAUGAAUAAAGCUGUGCUGCCCUCUAGUGGCAGUAACAUAAAACAUCAA